CCCAGACUCAGCUUUGAGCUGGCACGGAGGAACCUCUCUGCCCUGCAAAACCUCUCUCUCUGUGUGACUGCUUUGCGAAUCAUGGAUUUUCCUGCUGCAGUGGAAGAAAGGAAAAAUGAAUAAUAACUGAAACUCUCUUUCUUGCCUGAGCUGUCUCUGACUGCAUGAAAUAAUGGGGUUCCGUUCAGGAAAGGAAUGGCACUCAGACUAUCCUCACAGCUGAAGAAGAUCUUUAUAAAGGAAGAGGAGAAGGAGACAGGACACGACUGAAGAGUUCACUGGUGAGCUGAUGAGGUUCAUCCUGUGCAUCUACUACAGGCAGCUGCAGGGAUCACCAUGAUGUGAGCAGUCAUCUAAAAGGGAGAGGACCUGGAGAGUCAGUGGAUGUUCCCUAUCCAGCCUGAGAAGUUUUGGUUGAACAAUAACAUCUGUUCUA
Long non-coding RNA from Hirundo rustica (Barn swallow), 436 nucleotides. RefSeq lists it as uncharacterized. NCBI's taxonomy places the organism in Eukaryota, Metazoa, Chordata, Aves, Passeriformes, Hirundinidae. The transcript is spliced from 4 exons. The record is from RefSeq and is a predicted model, not a curated record.